ACAAAAACAAAUUUAAAAAAAAGAAAAUCAUGGAAUAGAAGCAAAAGACGGCGCGCUUCUAAUUACAGAUUCACAACAAAAGUCUGUAACUACUACUGCCUUAGCACUGACUGACUGUUAAUUUCUUCAUGAAAUAAUUCGAAACGUGACGUUGCAUAAAAGAUCAAAGACCGUUUUCUAGACAAGAUUGCCCACUUUACACUCGGAUAGCAGGUCAGUGAAAAAUAAUGGGAUUGAACGUUCUCCGAAAAGAACAAGAUAAUGAAACUGUCACAGGAAAGAGACGACAAUGGAUUCGGUUUCGUGUCAACAUUGUAUCGCGAUCUUUUGAUGGCGACCGAUAAAACUCGUUUCGAAAAUUUCUAAAUCGUUUUCGACUAUAACCUGAAUAAGACGAUUUAAAUAAAAUCAUCAUCAAGAAAGUUAUUUAUAUAUAUAUAUUAAUAGAAGAUCGUAAAAUAUAAGAUUUUUGAUUAAUAAAAUUUAUUCGAUAAUUUAAUAAAUAAUCGAUUAUCGAAUAUUAAUAUCUGUAACUUGAAAUUUGCCCAAUGAAGUUGUCUGCUUAAAUUACGUAUUUCUCGGCAACUUCUAUCUAUCUAAGUUUUUUUAAACGAUUAAACGAUUACAAUGGUUUAUGGAAUGGUUUAUACAUUGUAACGAAGUGUUAACUCUGCACAAACAUGUUCUCCGGACUAGUCUAUAAAAAAUAAUAAUAUCGUAUAACUUAUGUUACGGUUAUAUGGAUUAACCAUAAAUUGGAAGAUCGAAAUCUUUGAUAAUUAGAUCAUAAACAUGAUGGUUGAUUUCGUGACGGUAUACGAAAACGAUCAAUCGAUAUCAAGAAGAUGCUUGUCUAUGACAAAUUGCGUUCCAGACGAUCAAGACGGUCAUCAAGACCUGAUCAAUUCAUUCAUCGCGAUUUCAUCAGUGAUAUUAGCGGCAUGCGAGCGACGCGUUCACCAAUUAUCGUGAAAUUUGCACACUGACAACUACAAUCUUUUCUCUUUUAUGUGCGCACGUGAUGAGAGUUGUUAAUGAUGAUGUGAAUCAAUGUGAUAGCGUUGUAAAUCAAUUUUUAAUUGCGAUUCCGGCUCGAUCUGCUUUAUCAUUGUGACAAUGUUGCUAAUAUCGCGAAUGAAAUUCGACGGAUAAUGCAUUGUGGUGAAUUGUUCGUUUGAUUUUAAUAGUUAUCUGUCAAGUUGUACAUGAUAAAAAAAGAAGUCUAGUUUUAUAGCUGGUUUAAAAGCAUAAUGAAAUCAUAGUAAUAAUCAUAUAUGUAUAUCGUAAUUAAAAAAAAUUGCAAAAAUUAUUAUAUAUAUAAUCAAACGAAUUUCAAUAAAAGUCGUUGUGUUAUCGCUUUUCGAAUGUUGAUGUCGAAGAAUCAAUGUAUUGAUGAUAAAGAAAACAUUUCGUGUCUUUUUCUCUCGGACCAUUUUAAACGUCUUUAUGAGUUUUGGCUGUUAACACGAUCAUGGAAACAGGUACGAGUUUUUUUUUCUUGAUGCCUUACUCUUCUAUUAUCUACGGGAUCUCAGGUGGCUAGCGCCUGGCACGCAUUCGUCAGGGACAAAUGAAGUCGUGAUUGGACAGGAAGUACGGCCAAAGAGCCGGCCACCGUUUCUCUUUCUCCUUUUCUCGAUUAUACCGAGACUGGUUCUUGGCUGGAAUAGCUCGAUAAAGGUCGAAUUUACUGGUUUACCUGUCGAAAGUUGGAAUAUAUUGUUAAUUUCCUGUGACAUCUAUUGAAUGAAAAUUAUAUCUUUUCGUAUACUUUUUAAUUUCUAAAAGAUAAAAAAUUAAAAAUUGUUUUCAUCUUUCGAAUAUAUAUAUACAUAUAUAUUUUUUUUUCAAGAAAUUUUAUUAUAUCAUUAAUAUAUCAUUUGAAAUUUUUUAAAUUUUAAUGAAUUCCAAAUUUCUCUUUAUUAAUGCAAUGAUAGUAAUCCAUCGUACAUUUAUAAUGGAAUACAAUUCAAAUAGAUGCUAUUUGGAUAUUUCGAAUACACGUAUACCAAGUUCCAUAUGAUCUAGUGGAUAGCCUAAGCGGAAACGAAGUUAACGAGUCGCUAUUCGGUCGCAGAUGCAUCUAACGACUUCCUCGAAAGUCAUCAAAAUUAUUUAGAAUUAAAGAUCGAGCGAUUAAAGUUACAAAAGGGGAACAAUGGUCCACCUUAAUCAAAUCGCAUUAAAAAAUGAAGAAUAAUAAGAAAAUAAAGGGAGAAUAUCAUUCUAUAAUGGAUGCAAUCUGUUUGUUUCGUACUCGUAUAUCGGUCUCGGCCGCAAUUUUUCCUGAUCGUUGGCGACCAGGCUCUGUUCCCCCGUAUCCUUUCAUGCUCAUAUAGCUCGCGUGUCGAGGUAAUGGUAUGUACAGAAGGAUAAUCUAGCAGAUACGCCGUCGUAGGUGCAUCGUUGUGUGGGAUCAUAAUGUGCAAAAGGAAAUCGCCUCGCUUUAAGGUAAAUGGUCGAGGAGUGCAGUGCGUGCCCGGCCGCGUGUGAACCACCACCGGUUUCCUUUCAUUCACUAAAGUUUCUUCAUCGCGAAUGUCGCACGAUUGCUACGCCCGAUUAUCGUUGUGCGAGCAUCAUCUCCGUGGUAAAAAGGAAUCCUUUCGCGGAACCGAUCCGUUAGCGAUUAACGGGACCGUGUCUGAAAAUUUUUAUUCGAAAAAAAAUUUGAUAAUAUAAUUUUCAUUUUUCUCAAUUCCACUUCAAUUUUAAUUAUCGUUAUUAGUAUAUAAUGUAAUGUAAUUGAUCUCAAAUUGACGCGAUGUUAGUUUAAAGUUGGAAAUUUUGAAAUAUUAUUUUUCUAUAUUUUACCAUUUUCUAUCGAUGUAUAAUUUUAAUUGAAACGAUAAUAAAUAAAUAUAAA
Molecule: long non-coding RNA, 2866 nt
Organism: Apis cerana (Asiatic honeybee)
Lineage: Eukaryota; Metazoa; Arthropoda; Insecta; Hymenoptera; Apidae
Source: RefSeq, a predicted model, not a curated record